Arachis stenosperma is the source of this 1044-nucleotide RNA transcript. It is a transcript of the gene named SUMO-conjugating enzyme SCE1, with no coding region annotated. The transcript has 6 exons. NCBI's taxonomy places the organism in Eukaryota, Viridiplantae, Streptophyta, Magnoliopsida, Fabales, Fabaceae. The record is from RefSeq and is a predicted model, not a curated record.
UUGAAAGACAUUUGUUUUUGCUCACUUGUCACUUCCCACAAAUCCUACAAGCCAUAUCACUCUCUCGCCCAAAAAACUAAGAGGGGUCUGGGGAAAAGAAGAAAAGCAGAAAGCGCGUUUAUAAAGCAAACCAAAGCGCCACUGAGCUAACUCUGUGCGAACGAGUUCGUGACUCAGAAGAAGAAGAAACAUGUCUGGUAUUGCUCGUGGACGACUCGCUGAGGAGCGCAAGUCGUGGCGCAAGAAUCAUCCUCAUGGUUUUGUGGCGAAACCGGAGACGCUGCCUGAUGGUACCGUGAAUUUGAUGGUGUGGCAUUGCACUAUUCCUGGGAAGUCUGGGACUGAUUGGGAAGGUGGCUUUUUCCCCCUUACAAUGCACUUCAGUGAAGACUACCCUAGCAAGCCUCCUAAGUGUAAAUUCCCACAAGGCUUCUUCCACCCUAAUGUCUAUCCAUCUGGAACUGUAUGCUUGUCUAUACUUAAUGAGGAUAGUGGGUGGAGACCAGCUAUAACAGUGAAGCAAAUUCUUGUUGGUAUCCAGGAUUUGCUUGACCAGCCAAAUCCUGCUGAUCCUGCUCAGACAGAGGGAUAUCAUCUAUUUAUCCAGUCAUAUGCUUUUCAAAGUGUCUCUUCUCCAUCCUAGCAGCCCUCUUCACCGAGGAUUGUUAAAUUGACCACUCACCUACUUGAAGUUGGGUUUGGACAUGGUGGAAUAUUAGAUGCUACAGAGUAUAAAAGAAGGGUCAGGCAGCAGGCAAAGCAAUACCCACCAAUAAUCUAGUGAUACCACAGCUCACCUUAGGAACUGUUUUUGCAUCGUAAAUGCUCUCAUGCGCUAUAGCUUAAAACUCUUCUGUCAUCUGUGAUUGUUGGCUACAAUAUUUUGCAUACAUUAUGGUAUUUCUGUUUACUUUCCAAUUUGGAUUAAGUGUUAAUAUAUAAACAAUGUGGAAUCAACAAAUGAAUACAUGUUGGUGGCAUGUGCCUGAUGUUUGCUGAUGGAUAACAGUUCAGGUGAAUGAAUUGCAUGCGUGUCUUCUUUGA